GGGGAUGUGGUUCAAUGGUAGAACUCUUGUCCAGCAUGCAUGAAGCCCUGGGUUCAAUCCCAGCACUGCAA
This 71-nucleotide transfer RNA is filed under the name Ictidomys tridecemlineatus (thirteen-lined ground squirrel). RNAcentral describes it as "Spermophilus tridecemlineatus (thirteen-lined ground squirrel) tRNA". It matches the Rfam family "tRNA". Rfam says of the family: Transfer RNA (tRNA) molecules are approximately 80 nucleotides in length. The record is from Rfam by way of RNAcentral. RNAcentral also lists the same sequence under 1 other name. Lineage: Eukaryota; Metazoa; Chordata; Mammalia; Rodentia; Sciuridae.